GAUUUCUGGCUUGAAACAUUUUGCCGGCCACGGUUUCGUGUGUUAGUGCUUGAUGUUCUGGCCAUCCUUCCAAUCGCUAUUCAUUCUUCUUCAUUGAGGGGUGAGUGGUAUUGGAUCUUUUACUUUGAAAAAAUUAGAGUGUUUCAAGCAGGCUUUAUGCUGUGAAUACAUUAGCAUGGAAUAAUAAUUUAGGACUUCGGUUCUAUUUUGUUGGUUUCUAGGACUGAAGUAAUGAUUGAUAGGGACAGUUGGGGAUGCUGAAAUUCAUUGGCCAGAGGUGAAAUUCUUGGAUUCAAUGAAGUUCAACUCAUGCGAAAGCAUU
This 322-nucleotide ribosomal RNA is filed under the name Sandonidae sp. RNAcentral's name for it is "SSU rRNA". The stretch from base 62 to 322 matches the Rfam family "Eukaryotic small subunit ribosomal RNA", at positions 694 to 955 of the family's 1831-position model. Lineage: Eukaryota; Cercozoa; Glissomonadida; Sandonidae. The record is from RNAcentral.